RNAcentral lists this ribosomal RNA (255 nucleotides) under uncultured bacterium. Its description in RNAcentral is "partial 16S ribosomal RNA". It matches the Rfam family "Bacterial small subunit ribosomal RNA", at positions 524 to 776 of the family's 1533-position model. The record is from RNAcentral.
UACGUAGGUGCAAGGCGUUAAUCGGAAUUACUGGGCGUAAAGCGUGCGCAGGCGGCUUUGCAAGACAGAUGUGAAAUCCCCGGGCUCAACCCUGGGAACUGGCAUUUGUGACUGCAAGGCUAGAGUGCGGCAGAGGGGGAUGGAAUUCCGCGUGUAGCAGUGAAAUGCGUAGAUAUGCGGAGGAACACCGAUGGCGAAGGCAAUCCCCUGGGCCUGCACUGACGCUCAUGCACGAAAGCGUGGGGAGCAAACAGG